GCUUGCUUCCCGCUGACGAGCGGCGGACGGGUGAGUAAUGCUUAGGAAUCUGCCCAGUAGUGGGGGAUAGCCCGGGGAAACCCGGAUUAAUACCGCAUACGUCCUACGGGAGAAAGCAGGGGAUCUUYGGACCUUGCGCUAUUGGAUGAGCCUAAGUCGGAUUAGCUAGUUGGUGGGGUAAAGGCCUACCAAGGCGACGAUCCGUAGCUGGUCUGAGAGGAUGAUCAGCCACAUCGGGACUGAGACACGGCCCGAACUCCUACGGGAGGCAGCAGUGGGGAAUAUUGGACAAUGGGGGCAACCCUGAUCCAGCCAUGCCGCGUGUGUGAAGAAGGCUUUCGGGUUGUAAAGCACUUUCAGUAGGGAGGAAAACCUUAUGGCUAAUACCCAUAAGGCUUGACGUUACCUACAGAAGAAGCACCGGCUAACUCCGUGCCAGCAGCCGCGGUAAUACGGAGGGUGCAAGCGUUAAUCGGAAUUACUGGGCGUAA
RNAcentral lists this ribosomal RNA (491 nucleotides) under Marinobacter nauticus. RNAcentral describes it as "bacterial SSU rRNA". It matches the Rfam family "Bacterial small subunit ribosomal RNA", at positions 78 to 563 of the family's 1533-position model. The record is from RNAcentral. Lineage: Bacteria; Pseudomonadati; Pseudomonadota; Gammaproteobacteria; Pseudomonadales; Marinobacteraceae.